Long non-coding RNA from Phragmites australis (common reed), 804 nucleotides. RefSeq lists it as uncharacterized. The record is from RefSeq and is a predicted model, not a curated record. NCBI's taxonomy places the organism in Eukaryota, Viridiplantae, Streptophyta, Magnoliopsida, Poales, Poaceae. The transcript has 3 exons.
GUACGAUAAAAUAAAACGGUUUAAACUUUUAUUUUUAGUUCAAAAUAAAAAGCAAAUAGCUCAAUUAAAUACCGCAAUCUACCCAUAGCUCCAAAUCCAAGAUUUCUUGGAGCUGAUCAAAACCAACUCCGAGAAAUCUUAGAUCUAGAGCUGUGCCAAACAGGACCUAAGCUACAUAUAUUCUCGAAGAUUGCAGUUAUUACUAUAAAGUCUUCAUGACAAUACUGUUCAUCUUGAACUAAGCUACAUGUCUUGUCGACCUUGUGAAAUAUCAUUUGGCAUGAUCAGGAUCAGGAGGAUUCUGAAAACUAUUGGUUACCAACUGUAAAUCAGAAACAUUCUACUUAUGGUUUUGGGAACUCUACCUGGCUGCCCCUCCCCCCACGCUCACCAUCGGCAACUGCAAUCCAGAGCAAUCAAGCGAGGGUGAUGCCAGCCUUUCCAGCAAGGGGAAAUGAAGAUCUUACUGAACAGCUCCAGUUGGUGCAAAUAAGACAUGCAAUAUGGAUCAGUGACCAAUGCGAUUUGGGACCAUCUGUUGGGAAUUAAUUGAAAUGUGGGCUUUCUACAGAAGCAUGAAGGCAAACAGCCCAUUGGUCUUAUGCUGCCUUCGGGGGAAUGCUUACCUGGCACUUUAGCAGAGCAAACAUGAUGUAGCUAAAACCAUUCUGUGAAGACUCUUCAACGAACUCAGGAGUAAUUAUAUGGUAGAAAUUAUGAUUAAAUUUUAUAUUUUACUUAGGCAUAUUUGUUUGAGCUGUGGAUUGUGAAAAUCAGCUUGUAGAUUACAACCUAGCCUACAGA